UUGAAGGUCAGGAAGGGCGGCGGUGAGGAGAUACCCUUCGUCCAAGGCCUUCUGGGACCUCAGUUCUGGGACAAUGAGGCUCCUCUGUAUCUUCCUCACUGCUCUCUCGAUCCUCUUCCAGACAGCACUAGGGCGCUCAAUUUUGAAAGACCCUGCCAUCUUCGGGAUGGAAUCUGCCUGAAGCGAGGGACACCGAGCUGUGAGCCCUUCAGAGGACCUUGCGGGCAGUCACUGUUUGCUGCCAAAUAAAGCCGAGCUGAUGGAGGCAGCCCAGCUGAGGAAACCAGCGAGAGACCCAGAGCAAUCUCCUCUUGUGCAAAUAAAAGCAGACAGUUCUCACAUCUACACAAUCAACUAUUUUAUCAUUAGGACUGAUUAAAGUUGUUUUCAGGGUAGGCAGGGUAGGCAAUG
Molecule: long non-coding RNA, 411 nt
Organism: Capra hircus (goat)
Lineage: Eukaryota; Metazoa; Chordata; Mammalia; Artiodactyla; Bovidae
Exons: 3
Source: RefSeq, a predicted model, not a curated record